Molecule: ribosomal RNA, 204 nt
Filed under: uncultured bacterium
Lineage: Bacteria
Description: partial 16S ribosomal RNA
Rfam family: Bacterial small subunit ribosomal RNA
Source: RNAcentral
AUUGCAGGCUGCAACUCGCCUGUAUGAAGUUGGAAUUGCUAGUAAUCGCGGAUCAGCAUGCCGCGGUGAAUACGUUCCCGGGCCUUGUACACACCGCCCGUCACACCAUGAGAGCCGGUAAUACCCGAAGUCAGUAUCCUAACCGCAAGGAGGGAGCUGCCGAAGGUAGGAUUGGCGAUUGGGGUGAAGUCGUAACAAGGUAAC